Long non-coding RNA from Bubalus bubalis (water buffalo), 396 nucleotides. RefSeq lists it as uncharacterized. The record is from RefSeq and is a predicted model, not a curated record. The transcript has 3 exons. NCBI's taxonomy places the organism in Eukaryota, Metazoa, Chordata, Mammalia, Artiodactyla, Bovidae.
GGUUGGAUGGCAUCACUGAUUCAGUAGACACGAGUUUGAGUGAAGGUGGGGACAUGGUGAAGGACAGGGAAGCCCUGCGUACGGCAAUCCAUGGGGUUGCAGAGUCAGACAUGACUUGGAGGCUGAACCACCACAGAGAACAAUGCAGAUUUCUUCUUCCAGCAGUUAUUUCCUGAACACUCCAGACUGUGAAUGAAUCCCAGACGGCCAGCACCUCAGCAGAAGAGAGGUCUAUGUCCCAGAGGCAGGAAACGGCGGAGCUGGAUGGAUUCUUAACCAGCUGAGCCAGAAGGAAGCCCUUAUUUUGGGUAAGUGGCCUUAAACUUGGUAGAAAGGAGGAAAGAGGGAGAGACAGAGACAGAGACAAAGAGGGUAACAGAGGGGACCAGACUUGGG